GUCCACGCCCUAAACGAUGUCGACUGGUUGUUGGGAGAGGCAACUUUCUUAGUAACGAAGCUAACGCGUGAAGUCUACCGCCUGGGGAGUACGGCCGCAAGGUUAAAACUCAAAGGAAUUGACGGGGACCCGCACAAGCGGUGGAUGAUGUGGAUCAAUUCGAUGCAACGCGAAAAACCUUACCUACCCUUGACAUGUGCGGAAGCCUGGUGAGAGCUGGGUGUGCCCGAAAAGGGAGCCGCAACACAGGUGCUGCAUGGCUGUCGU
Molecule: ribosomal RNA, 267 nt
Filed under: uncultured bacterium
Lineage: Bacteria
Description: partial 16S ribosomal RNA
Rfam family: Bacterial small subunit ribosomal RNA
Source: RNAcentral